UUUUUUUGUAACAGCUUUAUUGUGAUAUAAUUCAUAUACCAUAAACCUCACCCUUUCAAAAAAGUGUACAAUUCAGUGGUAUUUAUGAUAUUCACAGAUCUGUGCAACCAUCACCAUUAUCUAAUUUUAGAACAUCUCCAUAACCCCAAAAGGAAACCCCAUCCCCAUUAGCAACUACUUCCACUACCCCUAGGUCCUGGAAACUACUAACCUACUUCCUGUCUUUAGGAUUUGCCUAUUCUGGACUUUUUAUGUAAACUGAAUUAUAUGGUAUGUGGCUUUGAUUUCUUGCGGUAACAUAUAAAUAAGACUGACUAUUUAACCAUGUUAAGUGUACAGUUCAGUGGCAGUAAGUACAUACGCGCUGCCGUACAGCCAUGACCAUUAUCCGUCUCCAGAACUUUUUCAUUAUCCCAUAAUAAAACUCUGGGCGUUCCUGCUGUGGGGCAAGGAGAUCCGCAGUGUCUCUGCAGCACCAAGUCACAGGUUCAAUCCCUGGCCCAGCACAAUGGAUUAAAGGUUCUGGCACUGCCACAGCUGUGGCAGAGGGUGCAAUGCAGCUCAGAACUGAUCCCUGGCCCAGGAACUUCAUAUGCCAUGGGACGGCCAAAAAUGAGAAAACAACAACUCUUGUGUACCCAUUAAAUAAUCUCUCUCCAUUCGCCUCUUCCCUCAGCCUCCAGUAACCUCUAUUUUACCUCUAUCUCUAUAAAUUUGCCUCUUUUAGGGAGUUCAUAUAAGUGGAAUCAUAUACUUUUUGUCCCUUUUGUGUCUGGCUUAUUCACCCAGGAUAAUGUCUUCAAAGUUCAUCCAUGUGGUAGCAUGUAUUGGGGUCUCCUUCCUUUCCAAGGCUGGAUAAUAUUCCAUUGUGUGCAUAUCCUAAAUUUUGUUUAUCCAUUCAUCUGUCAAUGGAAGCUUGGGUUGCUUGGGCCUUUUGGCUAUUGUGACUAAUGCUGCUCUAAUGUGGGUAUACAAAUAUCUGUUUGAGUUCCUGCUUUCAACUCUUUUGGUUAUUUACCCUGAAGUGGAAUUGAUGGAUCAAGUAAUUUUACGUUAGUUUUUUGAGGCACUGCCAUACUCUUUUCCGCAGAAGCUGCACCAUUUUAUAGUCCCACUAGAGAGGCGCAAGGGUUCCAAUUUCUCCAUAUCCUUGCCAACACUUGUUUUGUUUGUUUGUUUGUUUUUUUAAUGAGAGCCAUCUCAGUGGCUAUGAAGUGAUGUUCCGUUGUGGUUUGGAUUAGCCCCUUCCUAAUGAUUGGUAAUGUUGAGCAUCUUUUUAACUGCCUAUUGGCCAUUUGCAUAUCUUCUUUGUAGACAUGUUUAUUCAAGUCCUUUGCUCAUUUUUUAAUCAGGUUGUUUGCUUUUUGUUGUUGAGUUUAUAGGCAUUCUUUAUAUAUUCUGGACAUUAAUCCCUGAUCAGACAUGCUAAUUUUGAGUGGCUGGUAGGGUAUCCAUUUAAAAAUAGCCAACAGGGAGUUCCCGUCGUGGCGCAGUGGUUAACGAAUCCGACUAGGAACCAUGAGGUUGCGGGUUCGGUCCCUGCCCUUGCUCAUGGGUUAACGAUCCGGCGUUGCCGUGAGCUGUGGUGUAGGUUGCAGACGCGGCUCGGAUCCCGCGUUGUUGUGGCUCUGGCGUAGGCCGGUGGCUACAGCUCCGAUUCAACCCCUAGCCUGGGAACCUCCGUAUGCCGCGGGAGCAGCCCAAGAAAUAGCAACAACAACAACAACAAAAGACAAAAAUAAAUAAAUAAAUAAAUAAAAAAUAAAAUAAAAUAAAAAUAAAAAUAGCCAACAGGCAAAUGAAAGUGCUUAUCUUGAAUUCAAGCAGGAGAAACAGCAAUGUGGUUUAACUGUCAUAUUUGCACAGUGACAUUUAAAAGUCCUUUCAUAUAUAUUAAUUUAGGAUCUCCCCCAAAUCCUGACACUUUAACAGAUGAGAAAACUCAGACAGAUCUCCUGACUUCAAACCCCAAGAUUAAAAUUAUUUGGAAGUGGCUCAGGGAUCAAAGGUAAGAAGCUGUCCAAGCUGACUGAGUUCUGGACCCCAUCCCAAUUCCCAAAACAGCUCAAAUUUUUCUGCUGCAAAAACCAGAAUAUCAUCUAUGACUCCCUUUGAAAAUAAGCAGACUGUGGUGAUCUAUGUGGGAAGCGAAUCUGAGAGAGAAUGGAUGUGUGUCUAUGGAUGACUGGGUCACUUUGUUGUACAGCAGAAAUUAUUACAGCCUUGUAAAUUAGCCAUACUUCAAUGAAACUUAAAAAAAAAGAUAAGCAGAGUUGCUUUAAACAAAUUUGAAACCACUAUAUUAUAGGAUGCUAUCUUAUGUUCACAAAACAGCAACUGAAGCUCUAGAAAUAACACUGCUUAAUUAGAAAACUUGAGGCAAGAAGGUAAUCCUAAUUUCGUGGGAUAAAAGAAUGAAAAAAGAAGGCAGAAAGACAACCAAAGUCUAGGAAGAAGAAUUUCAAGAGGAAGAUUCCGUCGACUGCAGAAGAUUCGGUACAGAGGUCCUGAAGGAUGAGGACUGGAAGAAGAACACCGUGUUUCCCACGAGGUCACUGGUAACCUUUACGCGACCCAUUUUAAUACACUGAGCGAAAAGCCCCCAGUGACGGCAAGGAGGCUGAAGCAGGAAAAGUAACAUAUAUGAAAUACCCAACAAUUUUGGUAAAAUAACUGAAUGUUUUUGGCCAUGCCCAUGGUAGGUAGACGUUCUGGGGCCAGGGACUAAAUCUAAGCCAUAGCAGUGAGGAGGCCAGAUUCUUAACCACUGGGCCACCAGGAAACUCCAAUAAUAGUGAAUAUUUACAUAAUUCUUAAUAAGUGCCAGGCCUUGUUUUAAAUACUUAACAUAUUAAUUAACUUAUCCUCAAAACGACCAUUAGUACCAUCAUUCUAUUCACAGUUGAGGAAACGGAGACAUAGUGAGGAGCCAGGAUUCUGAGGCCACCUGCUGGAUACUCCUACAUAUACGCAAUAAUAUAUAAUAUAACCAUUUUACAUAUAUCAUAAUAUACGAGGUGAUACAUAUGGCAGAUACAUGCAAAUAUAUGUGACAGUAAAAAGUACAAUAAUAUUGAAAAUACAGCCCAUAAAAACUGAAUCACUGUGUUGUGUACCUGAAACUAAUAUAAACUGUAAAUCAACUAUAUUUUAUUUUAUUUUUUUGUCUUUUUAAGUCCGCACCCACGGCAUA
RNAcentral lists this long non-coding RNA (3193 nucleotides) under Sus scrofa (pig). Its description in RNAcentral is "lncRNA (ENSSSCG00015019424.1)". The record is from RNAcentral. Lineage: Eukaryota; Metazoa; Chordata; Mammalia; Artiodactyla; Suidae.